This 202-nucleotide unclassified non-coding RNA is filed under the name Polyscias sp. 'lucienneae'. Lineage: Eukaryota; Viridiplantae; Streptophyta; Magnoliopsida; Apiales; Araliaceae. The record is from RNAcentral.
GUUAAGCGUGCUUGGGCGAGAGUAGUACUAGGAUGGGUGACCCCCUGGGAAGUCCUCGUGUUGCACCCCCCCCCCUUCUUUUUGCAUUUUUUUGCAUUUUUGUGAUAAUGUGACGAAAGGAAACGCGCGUACGAGUGAACAUGGCUUACGAAAUUCGAGAAUAGUAACGUUUGGCAAUAUAGGAGUAAAAAAGAAAAAUCUU